Molecule: ribosomal RNA, 2923 nt
Filed under: Klebsiella pneumoniae
Lineage: Bacteria; Pseudomonadati; Pseudomonadota; Gammaproteobacteria; Enterobacterales; Enterobacteriaceae
Also listed under: 1 other name
Description: 23S ribosomal RNA
Rfam family: Bacterial large subunit ribosomal RNA
Source: RNAcentral
GGGUUGUGAGGUUAAGCGACUAAGCGUACACGGUGGAUGCCCUGGCAGUCAGAGGCGAUGAAGGACGUGCUAAUCUGCGAAAAGCGUCGGUAAGGUGAUAUGAACCGUUAUAGCCGGCGAUGUCCGAAUGGGGAAACCCAGUGCAAUUCGUUGCACUAUCGUUAACUGAAUACAUAGGUUAACGAGGCGAACCGGGGGAACUGAAACAUCUAAGUACCCCGAGGAAAAGAAAUCAACCGAGAUUCCCCCAGUAGCGGCGAGCGAACGGGGAGCAGCCCAGAGUCUGAAUCAGCUUGUGUGUUAGUGGAACGGUCUGGAAAGUCCGACGGUACAGGGUGAUAGUCCCGUACACCAAAAUGCACAGGCUGUGAACUCGAAGAGUAGGGCGGGACACGUGGUAUCCUGUCUGAAUAUGGGGGGACCAUCCUCCAAGGCUAAAUACUCCUGACUGACCGAUAGUGAACCAGUACCGUGAGGGAAAGGCGAAAAGAACCCCGGCGAGGGGAGUGAAAAAGAACCUGAAACCGUGUACGUACAAGCAGUGGGAGCACCUUCGGGUGUGACUGCGUACCUUUUGUAUAAUGGGUCAGCGACUUAUAUUCUGUAGCAAGGUUAACCGUAUAGGGGAGCCGCAGGGAAACCGAGUCUUAACUGGGCGUUAAGUUGCAGGGUAUAGACCCGAAACCCGGUGAUCUAGCCAUGGGCAGGUUGAAGGUUGGGUAACACUAACUGGAGGACCGAACCGACUAAUGUUGAAAAAUUAGCGGAUGACUUGUGGCUGGGGGUGAAAGGCCAAUCAAACCGGGAGAUAGCUGGUUCUCCCCGAAAGCUAUUUAGGUAGCGCCUCGUGAACUCAUCUUCGGGGGUAGAGCACUGUUUCGGCUAGGGGGUCAUCCCGACUUACCAACCCGAUGCAAACUACGAAUACCGAAGAAUGUUAUCACGGGAGACACACGGCGGGUGCUAACGUCCGUCGUGAAGAGGGAAACAACCCAGACCGCCAGCUAAGGUCCCAAAGUCAUGGUUAAGUGGGAAACGAUGUGGGAAGGCACAGACAGCCAGGAUGUUGGCUUAGAAGCAGCCAUCAUUUAAAGAAAGCGUAAUAGCUCACUGGUCGAGUCGGCCUGCGCGGAAGAUGUAACGGGGCUAAACCAUGCACCGAAGCUGCGGCAGCGACACUAUGUGUUGUUGGGUAGGGGAGCGUUCUGUAAGCCUGCGAAGGUGUGCUGUGAGGCAUGCUGGAGGUAUCAGAAGUGCGAAUGCUGACAUAAGUAACGAUAAAGCGGGUGAAAAGCCCGCUCGCCGGAAGACCAAGGGUUCCUGUCCAACGUUAAUCGGGGCAGGGUGAGUCGACCCCUAAGGCGAGGCCGAAAGGCGUAGUCGAUGGGAAACAGGUUAAUAUUCCUGUACUUGGUGUUACUGCGAAGGGGGGACGGAGAAGGCUAUGUUAGCCGGGCGACGGUUGUCCCGGUUUAAGCAUGUAGGCUGGUUGUCCAGGCAAAUCCGGAUAAUCAAGGCUGAGGUGUGAUGACGAGGCACUACGGUGCUGAAGUAACAAAUGCCCUGCUUCCAGGAAAAGCCUCUAAGCAUCAGGUAACAUCAAAUCGUACCCCAAACCGACACAGGUGGUCAGGUAGAGAAUACCAAGGCGCUUGAGAGAACUCGGGUGAAGGAACUAGGCAAAAUGGUGCCGUAACUUCGGGAGAAGGCACGCUGGUGUGUAGGUGAAGUCCCUGCGGAUGGAGCUGAGACCAGUCGAAGAUACCAGCUGGCUGCAACUGUUUAUUAAAAACACAGCACUGUGCAAACACGAAAGUGGACGUAUACGGUGUGACGCCUGCCCGGUGCCGGAAGGUUAAUUGAUGGGGUUAUCCGUAAGGAGAAGCUCUUGAUCGAAGCCCCGGUAAACGGCGGCCGUAACUAUAACGGUCCUAAGGUAGCGAAAUUCCUUGUCGGGUAAGUUCCGACCUGCACGAAUGGCGUAAUGAUGGCCAGGCUGUCUCCACCCGAGACUCAGUGAAAUUGAACUCGCUGUGAAGAUGCAGUGUACCCGCGGCAAGACGGAAAGACCCCGUGAACCUUUACUAUAGCUUGACACUGAACAUUGAGCCUUGAUGUGUAGGAUAGGUGGGAGGCUUUGAAGCGUGGACGCCAGUCUGCGUGGAGCCAACCUUGAAAUACCACCCUUUAAUGUUUGAUGUUCUAACGUUGGCCCCUUACCGGGGUUGCGGACAGUGUCUGGUGGGUAGUUUGACUGGGGCGGUCUCCUCCCAAAGCGUAACGGAGGAGCACGAAGGUUAGCUAAUCCUGGUCGGACAUCAGGAGGUUAGUGCAAUGGCAUAAGCUAGCUUGACUGCGAGCGUGACGGCGCGAGCAGGUGCGAAAGCAGGUCAUAGUGAUCCGGUGGUUCUGAAUGGAAGGGCCAUCGCUCAACGGAUAAAAGGUACUCCGGGGAUAACAGGCUGAUACCGCCCAAGAGUUCAUAUCGACGGCGGUGUUUGGCACCUCGAUGUCGGCUCAUCACAUCCUGGGGCUGAAGUAGGUCCCAAGGGUAUGGCUGUUCGCCAUUUAAAGUGGUACGCGAGCUGGGUUUAGAACGUCGUGAGACAGUUCGGUCCCUAUCUGCCGUGGGCGCUGGAGAAUUGAGGGGGGCUGCUCCUAGUACGAGAGGACCGGAGUGGACGCAUCACUGGUGUUCGGGUUGUCAUGCCAAUGGCACUGCCCGGUAGCUAAAUGCGGAAGAGAUAAGUGCUGAAAGCAUCUAAGCACGAAACUUGCCCCGAGAUGAGUUCUCCCUGAGACUUUAAGUCUCCUGAAGGAACGUUGAAGACGACGACGUUGAUAGGCCGGGUGUGUAAGCGCAGCGAUGCGUUGAGCUAACCGGUACUAAUGAACCGUGAGGCUUAACCUUACAACGCCGAAG